CCCCUCUCAGGGUGGCAUCUGGAGAGUUUCCAGGACUCUACCAGUCUCGGCUAUGGGAGGGAGAGUCAAGCAGAGGGCUACCCAGGCCAAUCCUAGCUUGAGCAGUGGCUAGCAAGUGGAAGGCAGUCUGCUACAAAU
Small nucleolar RNA from Ornithorhynchus anatinus (platypus), 138 nucleotides. The record is from RefSeq and is a predicted model, not a curated record. Lineage: Eukaryota; Metazoa; Chordata; Mammalia; Monotremata; Ornithorhynchidae.